CCAACCAGCAAUCUGCCGCUUAAGGCGAUC
Molecule: small RNA, 30 nt
Filed under: Bombyx mori (domestic silkworm)
Lineage: Eukaryota; Metazoa; Arthropoda; Insecta; Lepidoptera; Bombycidae
Description: ovarian small RNA-13458
Source: RNAcentral